Molecule: long non-coding RNA, 659 nt
Organism: Oncorhynchus tshawytscha (Chinook salmon)
Lineage: Eukaryota; Metazoa; Chordata; Actinopteri; Salmoniformes; Salmonidae
Exons: 3
Source: RefSeq, a predicted model, not a curated record
CAUAGACAUCUAGCCACAGCCAAUGCCUUCACGACCAGCAGGCCAGCUGCCGCUACCAAGGCCAGAGUGCUUGCCCAAACACCGAGCCCACAUGUCUUUGUGGGAGACGAGGCUGAUGGUAAACCUGAUGCGACCAUAUCCAGAUCUACAACUACCACCACUCAAGAGCCAGAAGAAUUUCAGAGCUCUGCUUUGGGAUCCUUCCUGCAAGAUGGAGGAUCCUGGGAGAAGCCCUUGAGGUUGCCCCAGAGAAACCUGAGACCAUUAUGAAGGUCUGUGUGGCCAUCUAUAAUUCAAUUUCCACUACAAACACUGACAACAGAGUCAUCAACCCCACGUUUGUUGUCCACUCCACACCCACCGGGGACCUGCAUCCAGAAGAGUGGAGACAGGUGGUACAAGUGGACACUAGUUUUCUGGACCCAAAAAACAUUUCGGCAGACAGGGCAACCAGAGUUGCAAUAUACGUGCGCAAAAACCUCAAGGACUACUUCCUCACACCAGCUGGCCAAGUGUCUUUCCAGGAUGCUGCCAUGACACGUGGCACCUUACAGUAAAUUCUGGAGUAUGGUUUAGAAAACAUGUACACAUACAGUGCAUUGGGAAAUUAUUCAUACCCCUGCACUUUUUCACAUUUUGUUAUGUUACAGCCUUAUUCU